This 2368-nucleotide ribosomal RNA is filed under the name Triticum aestivum (bread wheat). Its description in RNAcentral is "partial small subunit ribosomal RNA". The record is from RNAcentral. Lineage: Eukaryota; Viridiplantae; Streptophyta; Magnoliopsida; Poales; Poaceae.
GGGGAGCCGCCAUCAAAGUCAAGAGGGGAAGGGAGACUGAGACCCGCCGCCGGCGGCGAACGCGCAGGGGUUGGGAUUAGGAAGGUUGUGUACUCGUCGCCGCCGUCCCACAGGACCGGGUCGCCGCCGUCCCAUGGGGUUAGCGCGAAGUUGCGGACUUAGGUGAAUCGCGUGCCUAGGUCGCCGCUGUCCCACAGGACCGGCGCUCGCGGCCCCGUUCCGCCAGGCCGCCGCCGCAACACCGUCGAAGCGACAUAAGGUCAGGCAGUUCCUAAUGCCAGGAUGAGGCUAGGGUUCAAGGGUUGUCGGGUUGUGGCAGCGAGUAUAUAUGUAGGACCGCUUAGGUUGGGGACAUAUCUGCUUUCGGCCACGAUUUUUUAAGAAGGACCAUCUUUAAGUUUGGGUUCUUGUACUCGACGUCCCCUUAGAGCGGCAGGCAGGAGAACGGAGGCAAGGAGAUGUUCGGGUGCCGGAAGGCGGAGGACGUCGGUGUCGGUCUCGUCAGGAGACACCAGAACCUGUCUUGGUCUCCUGAGAAUAAAGUUGUGUCGACAUCUGGCGGACACAACGGAGUUCGCUACGACGAAGGAGCCGUGAUGAUGUGGCGGGGUACCGUACCAGGCUAGGUUCCCGCAGACAAGGUGUUGUAGUAGUUCGUGUAAUUAGCUGGCGGACGUAAUCGUGUUCGCUGUGACGAAAGAGCCGGGAUGGCCUGCCACGGUACCGUACCCCUCCAGAACCGGAGUUGAGUAGCUGCGGAGAAGUCGGCAUAAAACGGAGUGUUAUCAGCUAACGGACGCAAUCGUGCCCCCCGUGACGAUGGAUCCACAAAGAUGUGGUGGUGUGCCGUUAAGUUCCUGUACCUUAGAUAGGCUUCUGAGGAAAAAGCUCCGUAAUGUGGACCGUAGAAAGAAGGAGCCACCAUGAAGUCACGAGGUAACGUCGUUGUCGUCUAAAACCCUGGGUAGGCUCCUGAGAAGAAGCCAGUAUAAGCAGUUCAACAUACAGCCGGAACCGUCAUAACGCACCGGGGUAGCUCUAGCCGCUAGGUAAAACGAGCAUCGAUGAAACCUACAAACACCUUCCAGUGUCACCGACGUCGAAAAUAGUUGUAAUACACCAGCAAACAGAUGGUGUGAAUAGAACAAGCACAGGGUAUGUGGUCGGUUUGAGCAAAGAAUGCGAAACUCUGACACGGAAUAUGGUUGGCCUAGGUGAAACAGCAAGCGAGAGGAGAUCUACUGGCGCUCAUACCGCUCAGUACAAAAAGAUACAAGUUCUCCUUAAUGGGUAGGUGCAAGAAAUCGGGCGAGGUGGGGCUGUCACAUGCACAGUUAGAAUAGUGUCGCUUUGAACAAGCGCGGCAAGUUGCACCGGAACUAUAGUUCCCAAGACUACGCCGGAACCAGGUACCGAGGGGACCGUUUCUGCGCUCGAAUCUACCAUCCGUACGUCAACUCUCGUUAUUUGUCCCGUUCAGUACGUCUAGUGUCGGUGUCUAUUGAGUGGAACUACCAGAACUGAACCUCCACAAACAAUACUUUUUACUAGUCGUAUACCCACGUCACAGUACCAGGUUACCGUUUUAAAAUCACAAGUGACCUAACGAGUUAUUAAACCUCUGACUACGGCUUUAACGAUGAUAAGAACGUGUACUCUAACGUGUAAACCAACGGUCUGUGACCAGUCUCAAUUAAUAUAUAUUCUUCACCAAAGGAAUAGGAGAGUUCCACAUGAAGCAUGCUUCCUAGCUCUCUCUCCGUCUAGCGUACCCUUACGACUAUUACCGACGACGACCAAAGCUAGGUGUGUAUCGGGGAUUCUGGCAACUCUUCGAUCGACCCUUACUGUAUAUAGUAGGAAGCCCCUUCUUUUCUCGUGUCGAAAAUAGAUUUCGUUUAUAGUACCUACUCCGCGACCUUAAUAUAUCUCUUCAAUACGACCGGUUCCGCGGUAUUCAAAUAUCAAACAUGCAGACGUUAUAAUUUCGUAUUCUUACAAAAGGAUACACACAAAAUACGGCAGAAUCGGACUCAAGUACACUAGGAGUUUAUACCAGAAAUCAACGAAGUAACUACUAAAUCAUCUUUUUACAAGGUAAAUACGAGUCAUGAUGUCAUGAACCAACUUCGUCGAAAACUAGGAAGCUGUGUAAAGUUAGGCAACUUAGCGCCCAAGUAAAUACAAGCGAGAUCACAAAUGAGACCAAGACUUGGACCAUAGAACCAGCAUGACUCUACGAUCAAAAACGACCAGUACAUCAACCAGGAGGAACAGAGAGAGAGAGGAACAUGGCCUUUAAACAACCACGAGAACCCUCACGCGCGAGGACGCGCACUUUUUAUAAUAAACUUUACAGUUUUCAUAA